CCCUUAGAUGUCCUGGGCCGCACGCGUGCUACACUGACGCCUACAGCGAGUACUUCCCAGCCCCGAGAGGUGGCUGGUAAUCAGCAAUAGGCGUCGCGAUGGGGAUAGAUCUUUGGAAUUAUGGAUCUUGAACGAGGAAUGCCUAGUAAGCGCAGGUCAUUAGCCUGCGCUGAUUAAGUCCCUGCCCUUUGUACACACCGCCCGUCGCUCCUACCGAUUUCGAGUGGUCCGGUGAAUCUUUCGGACUGCGCGCGGCCUCGUGCCGUGUCGCGGAAAGUCAGGUAAACCUUAUCACUUAGAGGAAGGAGAAGUCGUAACA
This 319-nucleotide ribosomal RNA is filed under the name uncultured eukaryote. RNAcentral describes it as "partial 18S ribosomal RNA". It matches the Rfam family "Eukaryotic small subunit ribosomal RNA", at positions 1470 to 1796 of the family's 1831-position model. The record is from RNAcentral.